GUGUCCCCUCUUUCUUAAUCUUUUUAUUUUAUAUUCUGAAGUAUUUUCAAAAUUUCUUAAUGUUGCUGCUUAGUCAAAUUUUCUUCAGGGAUAUAGGAUUCUUGGUGCUCCAGAAAUUAUGCAUGUAUUUUAUGCUGAUGACUGUUUGCUUGUUGCUCGAGCUACGUUACAUAAUGCUAUAUGCCUUUCUACUAUUAUUAAUACUUAUUGCAUGUAUUUAAGGCAGGCUAUUAAUUAUGCAAAGUCUAAUAUUCUCUUUUUCUCAAGCAUUGGACGUACUACGAGGUAGCACAUUCUGC
Molecule: long non-coding RNA, 299 nt
Filed under: Elaeis guineensis (African oil palm)
Lineage: Eukaryota; Viridiplantae; Streptophyta; Magnoliopsida; Arecales; Arecaceae
Description: long non-coding RNA (EGUI_LNC000236)
Source: RNAcentral